Molecule: long non-coding RNA, 384 nt
Organism: Helianthus annuus (common sunflower)
Lineage: Eukaryota; Viridiplantae; Streptophyta; Magnoliopsida; Asterales; Asteraceae
Exons: 3
Source: RefSeq, a predicted model, not a curated record
UACCGCACGAGCAUGGAAAGCAAGUGGUAAAGAAAAGAGGAAGCAAGGCAACGGAAGCAUGUACGAAACGGACACUCGAGGUAUACAAAUAAUGGAAGUUGUAGGUUUGACACUAAAAUCCAAUGAUGGUGUUCGAAUGGAUGGAUGAAUGGAUUAACAUAAGCGAAAGCAUGAGAUGUUGCGUGGAUUUAGCAUCAUUAUGAAGGAUAGAAAGAUUGAAGAUCGAGUCAAGAGUAAAGGAUUGUACGGGAAAGAUCGGUCACAUAGUUUAGCAAAUGUAGGUCUGAAGUAUUAAUAUAAUGGAACGUGGUAAAUCCUUUUUAAUGAAUGUAUGACAUUUGAUAUUCGAACUUUCCUGUAAGUACUAUGUCUAUUAAAGAACGA